UCAUUACCGAGUGUAGGGUUCCUAGCGAGCCCAACCUCCCACCCGUGUUUACUGUACCUUAGUUGCUUCGGCGGGCCCGCCAUUCAUGGCCGCCGGGGGCUCUCAGCCCCGGGCCCGCGCCCGCCGGAGACACCACGAACUCUGUCUGAUCUAGUGAAGUCUGAGUUGAUUGUAUCGCAAUCAGUUAAAACUUUCAACAAUGGAUCUCUUGGUUCCGGCAUCGAUGAAGAACGCAGCGAAAUGCGAUAACUAGUGUGAAUUGCAGAAUUCCGUGAAUCAUCGAGUCUUUGAACGCACAUUGCGCCCCCUGGUAUUCCGGGGGGCAUGCCUGUCCGAGCGUCAUUGCUGCCCAUCAAGCACGGCUUGUGUGUUGGGUCGUCGUCCCCUCUCCGGGGGGGACGGGCCCCAAAGGCAGCGGCGGCACCGCGUCCGAUCCUCGAGCGUAUGGGGCUUUGUCACCCGCUCUGUAGGCCCGGCCGGCGCUUGCCGAACGCAAAUCA
This 500-nucleotide ribosomal RNA is filed under the name Aspergillus flavus. RNAcentral's name for it is "eukaryotic LSU rRNA". The stretch from base 189 to 342 matches the Rfam family "5.8S ribosomal RNA". Lineage: Eukaryota; Fungi; Ascomycota; Eurotiomycetes; Eurotiales; Aspergillaceae. The record is from RNAcentral.